Molecule: long non-coding RNA, 842 nt
Filed under: Meleagris gallopavo (turkey)
Lineage: Eukaryota; Metazoa; Chordata; Aves; Galliformes; Phasianidae
Description: lncRNA (ENSMGAG00000019297.1)
Source: RNAcentral
AAGACCUUACACACGUGAAAGAAGGAAAAAAAAAAAAGAAUUCAUGGCAGUCGUAUUCAAGUCAGUAACUCAGUACUGAACAGACCUUUUGAAUAGUAGAACAAUGCAUUUCCUCUACUCUAAAUGACAAAGAUUUUUGUAGACAAGUUUAGGUCACAAGCAUAACACUGUUCUGAUUUACGCUCUUAAUUAUUUUGUGCAAGGAACUACGAUUUGACUAUUGCUCUUUAAAAAGAGUCCUAUGAAGUCCUAGUCAAGGAGCAAAAUGCAACCGCACAAGGUACUAGACAAGCACAAACCAAGAGAACUCUAGCCCUUGAAGCAUGGAAGCUAUGAAUAAAGGAAGACAACAGAUCUCCUUUGUUUGUUUACCUACACCUGCAUACAACAUGCAAGAAAUCAAUUAAGAAUCCUAAGCCACAGCUGAUCACUUCCUCAGGUGAUAGCAUACAAAGUAGAUCAGCAAGGAAGUUCGCAAUGACAUUCAAAGUGGAGUUACCAACUACGGAUAAAAGAUGAAUUUUAUGAAGAAUUUGGUGAUAGUAUAAAUGCAAUUUCUAAAAGUGCUUAGUCCAGUACUUUUACUUAGAUAAUUCAUUAGAUUUCUUCUGACAAACAAAGAUGGUGAGAUAUAAAAAAAAAUUACAAAAAAACAAAUCACUGAACAGAAUAUUGAUGGUUGCAUAUACACAACUAACCUUGUCCUAACAGUAAACACUACCUUCACACAAUAAUAGCACAUUCAAGUACUCCAGGGGACAGAAGAGAAGGAAAGAGGAGGAAGGAGCAGAGCAGACAAUUAUUUUUGUUCCUUAAGAAAAAGUGAAUAGUUGUUGUUUUUU